GAUGAACGCUGGCGGCGUGCCUAACACAUGCAAGUCGAACGGAGACCCGCCUGUAAGACCUUCUGGUCGAGGAGGGGAAGACUGAGUGACGGACGGGUGAGUAACACGUGGGCAACCUGGCUCAUAGAGGGGGAGAACAGAGAGAAGUUUCUGCUAAUCCCGUAGAUGCACACACUGCAGCAUGGCAGAGGGUGAAGAGAGAUGCGCUAUGAGAUGGACCCGCGUCUGAUUAGCUAGUUGGCAGGGUAAGAGCCUAGCACAGCGACGAUCAGUAGGCGAGCUGGGAGGAUGACCGGCCACCUUGGGUAUGAGCCACGGCCCAACGUCCUACAGGAGGGAGGAAUGUGGGAUAUUGCACGAUGGCGGGAAGCCUGAAGCAGCGGCGGCGCGUGACUGCAGAAGGAUUUCAGUAUGUAAAGCCAUACCAGCAGGGCAGUUAAUGACGGUACCUUAAUAAGAAGCCCCGGCUAACUACGUG
This 478-nucleotide ribosomal RNA is filed under the name uncultured bacterium. RNAcentral's name for it is "partial 16S ribosomal RNA". It matches the Rfam family "Bacterial small subunit ribosomal RNA", at positions 28 to 507 of the family's 1533-position model. The record is from RNAcentral.